ACUCAAAUGAAUAGACGGGGGCCCGCACAAGCGGUGGAGCAUGUUGUUUAAUACGUCACUAACCGUAGAACCUUACCAGGUCUUGACAUCUAUGGAACCCUGCGGAAACGUGGGGGUGCCCUUCGGGGAGCCAUAAGACAGGUGUUGCAUGGCUGUCGUCAGCUCGUGUCGUGAGAUGUUGGGUUAAGUCCCGCAACGAGCGCAACCCUCAUCCAGUGUUGCCAGCAGGUUAAGCUGGGCACUCUCUGGAAACUGCCCGUGCAAGCGGGAGGAAGGUGGGGAUGACGUCAAGUCAGCAUGGCCCUUACGACCUGGGCUACAAACAUGCUACAAUGGCGCGUACAAAGGGCAGCCAGCCAGCGAUGGUGAGCCAAUCCCAAAAAGCGCGUCUCAGUUCGGAUUGGAGUCUGCAACUCGACUCCAUGAAGUCGGAAUCGCUAGUAACCGCAGGUCAGCUAUACUGCGGUGAAUACGUUCCCGGGCCUUGCACACACCGCCCGU
This 501-nucleotide ribosomal RNA is filed under the name uncultured bacterium. Its description in RNAcentral is "partial 16S ribosomal RNA". It matches the Rfam family "Bacterial small subunit ribosomal RNA", at positions 899 to 1397 of the family's 1533-position model. The record is from RNAcentral.